RNAcentral lists this non-coding RNA (49 nucleotides) under Zavarzinella formosa DSM 19928. RNAcentral describes it as "DUF3800-VI RNA". It matches the Rfam family "DUF3800-VI RNA". From Rfam's summary of the family: Actinobacteria, Planctomycetes, Proteobacteria, Spirochaetes. Nearby to DUF3800 Lineage: Bacteria; Pseudomonadati; Planctomycetota; Planctomycetia; Gemmatales; Gemmataceae. The record is from RNAcentral.
GGUUGGGAGGGCUGCAUGCGCGGUCCGCUGGCGAUAAGCCGCCCGGCUG